UACAGAGGUCCCAAGCGUUGUUCGGAUUCACUGGGCGUAAAGGGUGCGUAGGUGGUGAGGUAAGUCGGAUGUGAAGUCUCCGAGCUCAACUCGGAAAUUGCAUUGGAAACUACCUUGCUUGAGGGUUGGAGGGGGGACUGGAAUGCUUGGUGUAGCAGUGAAAUGCGUAGAUAUCAAGCGGAACACCAGUGGCGAAGGCGAGUCCCUGGACAACACCUGACACUGAGGCACGAAAGCUAGGGGAGCAAACAGG
This 253-nucleotide ribosomal RNA is filed under the name uncultured bacterium. RNAcentral describes it as "partial 16S ribosomal RNA". It matches the Rfam family "Bacterial small subunit ribosomal RNA", at positions 524 to 776 of the family's 1533-position model. The record is from RNAcentral.